UACGUAGGGCGCAAGCGUUAUCCGGAAUUAUUGGGCGUAAAGAGCUCGUAGGCGGUUUGUCGCGUCUGCUGUGAAAGACCGGGGCUCAACUCCGGUUCUGCAGUGGGUACGGGCAGACUAGAGUGAUGUAGGGGAGACUGGAAUUCCUGGUGUAGCGGUGAAAUGCGCAGAUAUCAGGAGGAACACCGAUGGCGAAGGCGGCAUCCUGGACCGACACUGACGCUGAGGAGCGAAAGCCAGGGGAGCAAACGGG
RNAcentral lists this ribosomal RNA (253 nucleotides) under uncultured bacterium. Its description in RNAcentral is "partial 16S ribosomal RNA". It matches the Rfam family "Bacterial small subunit ribosomal RNA", at positions 524 to 776 of the family's 1533-position model. The record is from RNAcentral.